UUAUUACUCCCUCCAUCCCAAAAUUCNUGUCUUAGAUUUGUCUAGAAAUGAAUGUAUCUAAAUACCAAAAUGUGACUAUAUACAUUCAUAUCUAGACAAAUCUAAGACAAGAAUAUUGGGACGGAGGGAGUAUAAA
Molecule: non-coding RNA, 136 nt
Organism: Hordeum vulgare subsp. vulgare (domesticated barley)
Lineage: Eukaryota; Viridiplantae; Streptophyta; Magnoliopsida; Poales; Poaceae
Source: Rfam